GGAGCUCCCCACAGAGAGGCUCUGGUCUUCUCUGUCCCAGGCAUGACAGCUAAUACUCUUCCUUUUCCUGCCCUGUCAUUUCCCUCCUCCUCAAACACAGAUUUUCUUUCCUUAGACACGAUUUCUUCCGCUGUGUUAGUCAGAGCCUUGUGGUGUUUGUUUAAAUAAACAAAUCCGUCAUGAAUACGAUAUGAAAGAAGAUUGGACCUUCAGGCUGACUAAUGACGAACAUGAUGAGUUUCUUAAGGCAAAUCAGUCUUUUCCUCUUCAAAGGAGUCAGUUUUACUGGAAGUACUACAUAUAAUUAAUUACAUAGGCAUUAAUAUCAUGCUGACAGAAAAACAAAAAAGGAAUGUGUUGCCACACAGAAGAUGCAGAACCACUUUUAUGGCCGAAGUGGAACCAUGGUGUGAUACAGCUUCAAGUGAUCUUAAAGAUCAUCUGGCUCUUGAGCAUCCAGUGAAAAGUGGCUUCCUUGGUCUGAAGGUUUGGCCUGUCUAAGACAUUUAGUUAAAAUCAGUGUUUUGCAUCUUUGAUCAGAACAUGUGAACAAAUAGGACAAUUUGGCUUUCUCACAUAGCCACCACCAGCUUCCUUAAAUGACUGUUGCCAGGUGUCACCCUAGCAGGACUGAGCCAUUAAUCAUGGCAAAUGAAGCCGCAGGCAUCAGUUGUCCGUCUUGAAGAGAAGAGAUAGAACCUUGGAGUCUCGUUUUCCUGCUGUUCCGCACAGGCAUGGCAAUUGAGAACCUCAGGGUUGUUCUGAGCCAGCUCGUGGCCAGGGGCCGGCAACCUUGCUUCCCUCUCCUUUCCCCAACAGAAGCUGAGCGGCCCCUGGCCAUAUCUGCCCCAAAGCAAAGAGAAGCAGCCUGUUUCCCCGUGGUCCAGGCCAGGAAGGGAGCAGAAGGGACUGCAAAGCGUGGACUUCUGAGAGGGGUGAUUCAGGCGGCAGCAGCACCAUCAUGUGUCCUGGGCAUGCCACCAUUAGUCAACGUCAAACGAGUGCGAGGGCCCUGGAAAUACCUGCAG
Molecule: long non-coding RNA, 1028 nt
Filed under: Equus caballus (horse)
Lineage: Eukaryota; Metazoa; Chordata; Mammalia; Perissodactyla; Equidae
Description: lncRNA (ENSECAG00000037508.3)
Source: RNAcentral